UGGGGAAUAUUGCACAAUGGACGAAAGCCUGAUGCAGCAACGCCGCGUGAGUGAUGAAGGUCUUCGGAUUGUAAAGCUCUGUCUUUUGGGACGAUAAUGACGGUACCAAAGGAGGAAGCCACGGCUAACUACGUGCCAGCAGCCGCGGUAAUACGUAGGUGGCGAGCGUUGUCCGGAUUUACUGGGCGUAAAGGGUGCGUAGGCGGAUGUUUAAGUGAGAUGUGAAAUACCCGGGCUUAACUUGGGUGCUGCAUUUCAAACUGGAUAUCUAGAGUGCAGGAGAGGAGAAUGGAAUUCCUAGUGUAGCGGUGAAAUGCGUAGAGAUUAGGAAGAACACCAGUGGCGAAGGCGAUUCUCUGGACUGUAACUGACGCUGAGGCACGAAAGCGUGGGUAGCAAACAGGAUUAGAUACCCUGGUAGUCCACGCCGUAAACGAUGAGUACUAGGUGUAGGAGGUAUCGACCCCUUCUGUGCCGCAGUAAACACAUUAAGUACUCCGCCUGGGAAGUACGAUCGCAAGAUUAAAAC
Molecule: ribosomal RNA, 529 nt
Filed under: uncultured bacterium
Lineage: Bacteria
Description: partial 16S ribosomal RNA
Rfam family: Bacterial small subunit ribosomal RNA
Source: RNAcentral